AGGUGCGAUCAUACCAGCACUAAUGCACCGGAUCCCAACAGAACUCCAAAGUUAAGCAUGCUUGGGCAAGAGUACUACUAAGAUGGCUUUGUCACAAGACUUUCAAAGACACCAG
Molecule: ribosomal RNA, 115 nt
Filed under: Cephalotus follicularis
Lineage: Eukaryota; Viridiplantae; Streptophyta; Magnoliopsida; Oxalidales; Cephalotaceae
Source: RNAcentral